This 1221-nucleotide long non-coding RNA is filed under the name Equus caballus (horse). Its description in RNAcentral is "lncRNA (ENSECAG00000046011.1)". Lineage: Eukaryota; Metazoa; Chordata; Mammalia; Perissodactyla; Equidae. The record is from RNAcentral.
AUUCCUUUUUUUUCUUUUCUGUGUGGGCAUUUAGUUGUUUUAGCCCUAUUUGCUGAAUAGACCUUUUUAUUUUAAAACACAUAUAUAUAUAUAAAUAUAUAAAACACUGAAGGAUAUGCUUGAAUGGUGGUUCUAUUUUUUACCUCUGAUAUUUUCUAAGUGUUUCUAUAAUUAGCAUGAGUGAGCAGCAGUCUGUGAGUGAGUAGACACAAUAUGGUGAAGAAUGACAGCGAAAAUAAACGCAGUAGAAGCAGAGACUGAGAGAAGCUGGCCUGUGAAAGAGGGCUCGGCAGAUUAUGUUGCUGAGAGGGUGAUGGAUACUCAGUCCCCCAUUUGUCGAUUUCUGAACUGCCCUGCAGAGCCUGGAGGCCUCGCUUCAUUGUGGGUCCUCUUCUUCUCUGUGGUCUAGUCCAACAGUUGAGAAAUGCGUAUUUUUUGCUUCCACAUCCACCCUUAGAACAAACCCCCAUUACUUUAGACAACUUGAGUGGGUCUCUGUUUCUUGCAACUUACAGGAAACUUACCAGCAAACAGGCACACAGAGGAAGUAGGCACCUAUUUAUGGGGUAAGGAUGAAGGACUAAGGAAAAACACAUGGGUCCCAAAACUCCUCCUCCGGGAUUUGGCCUCCAUGAGCGAAAUCAGAGCUACGUCUUUUACUGUAACAUUAUAUUUCUGUUAGUUGUAAAUAUAUUGCUAAGAUCAAAGGAUAACAUAUUAUUAGCCAUUUAUUCAUUUUAAAAUUUAUUUUUCAUAUUUUGCAGCUCAGAGACCAGAGUUCUGAAAACAAAUAAAUUCUGAUUUGGGAGAUGGCAAAAGGUCACCGAAGCUGAAUUUUGCAUCCUUGAGACAUAGCACACCAUGGUUAGGGUCAUGGGCUGAGGCAUCAGAAUGCCUGGGUUUUAAGGCCAGCUCCAUGGCUUUCUCAGCUGGGUGACCUCAAGCAGUUUACAAGGCCUCCUUAAGCCUCAAUCCGUUCUUCUGCAAACAGGGCCGACUGGGAGGUUUCUGUCAGGUAAGGUGCCUGGCACAGAGGAAGUGCUCUGCAACUGCCAGCUCAUCUCAUUGCUCCCCAAUACUCCCAGCGCUCAUGCCAGGGGGCCUGGCGGCCUCGUGUGCACGCAUGCCUGAAUUUUCAGGCUCAUUGUUCCCUUUGCGAGGAGGGCCUCCCAUUUCACUGAGCCCUUGAGCCACCCCAUCUGUUCAGCUUUCUCUGUCUCC